This 407-nucleotide ribosomal RNA is filed under the name uncultured archaeon. RNAcentral describes it as "bacterial SSU rRNA". It matches the Rfam family "Archaeal small subunit ribosomal RNA", at positions 114 to 503 of the family's 1478-position model. The record is from RNAcentral.
CUUAGGACGGAGACAACCCCGGGAAACUGGGGCUAAUACCCGGUAGAUUAGGAGGCCUGGAAUGGUUUCUAGUCGAAAAGGCGUUGAAACCAUGCUUUUCGACGUCGCCUAAGGAUGGGGCCGCACCUGAUCAGGUUGUUGGUGGGGUAACGGCUCACCAAGCCUAUAACCGGUACGGGCCGUGAGAGCGGGAGCCCGGAGAUGGGCACUGAGACAAGGGCCCAUGCCCUACGGGGCGCAGCAGUCGCGAAAACUCCGCAAUGCGCGAAAGCGUGACGGGGCUACCCCGAGUGCCGUCCGCUGAGGAUGGCUUUUCCCCGGUGUAAUGAGCCGAGGGAAUAAGGAGAGGGCAAGACUGGUGUCAGCCGCCGCGGUAAUACCAGCUCUCCGAGUGGUAGGGAUGAUUA